GCACCCGUAGCUCAUCUGGACAGAGCGCGACUUUGCGGAAGUCGAGGCAGUAGGUUCGAAUCCUAUCGGGUGCG
Candidatus Blackburnbacteria bacterium is the source of this 74-nucleotide non-coding RNA. The record is from Rfam. NCBI's taxonomy places the organism in Bacteria, Candidatus Blackburniibacteriota.